Molecule: long non-coding RNA, 1193 nt
Filed under: Numida meleagris (helmeted guineafowl)
Lineage: Eukaryota; Metazoa; Chordata; Aves; Galliformes; Numididae
Description: lncRNA (ENSNMEG00000002291.1)
Source: RNAcentral
AUGGAAACCAUUGCACUCCUUCCUCACCAGGGCUCUCAUCUCUCCGUGUCCAGAUACUGCGGGCAUCAAGGACGAAGUGGAGGCCCAGGCAGAAGACAAAGACAGCAGCACAGCACCUCACCACCGCCACCACCUGGUUCCCAUGGGAUGGCCCCUUGGCACCUGUGGGGUCAGUGUGUUUGGGUGUCCUCAUCACCGAGCUGGGAUGCAGUGACAGUGCCACGCACGGAGAGAAGAGAUGGAACUUGGCUCCAUGGGAAAAGCUCAGAUCCACCCACUGUGCCCAGUGCCCUCACCUGUCACCACCAGUUCCACGGGGUCACUCAUAUUCGACGUCCACAGUGGCUCUGACACCUGGUACCGACACUGAUAUGUCCCCACGUCUUCCAGGUUUGUGACAACCAAGGAGAACUCAACUGUAUCCUACUCCUCAUCUUUUUCCUUGUCAGAUCUCAAAGUUCCAUUAAACCAGAGCUGGACCCAGGCAGCUGUGUGGGGCAGGUGGCACUGCAGGGUGACAGUGUCCCCCACAGCCACCCCCUGGCUGGGGUGCAGUGACAGGGAGGGUCGGGGCACUAGGACAGGGGACACCAGUCAGCCUUGUCCCUGCACACCCUCCUGGACCCCUCUGAUGGCCCCCUCCCCAAGCUCCCCUCCCUCUGUCCCCAUUCUCUCCCUGUCCCCAUACUCACACUGCUGAGCACUGCUGGCUGCCAACAGACACCAACCUGAAAGGGACAUAGUCCUGGUCUCACACAGGGCCAACAACCCCCGUGGCACCAUGUCCCCAUUGUCACUCACCCAGGAUGAGGGCCAGCACCAUUGUUUGCAUGAGGCAGGAUCAGCUUGGGGACAGUGAGACUGCAGUGCGGACAGGGAGUGGCCGGAGAGCUGCUUUCAGUUUCCCUUUUGGACAGGAUCCUGUGAUCCUGUGAUGUCAGCACCUCAUGUGUCCCCCAAGGGGUGGGAAGGAUGCAGUGGGUUCCUCUGUUUGGUGCCACACAUCGAUCUGUGCACACAGCCUCUAUUGAGGUGACCCACACAGGCAAUCACCCGUCGAGUGUCACACCCUCUCCCCAAAGCUCUAUUAGUGUGUGUCCGUGCACCAUUAUCUCCAUGGGAUAAUGAUGAUCUCCACGAAAACAAAGGAAAUAUCUAUUUUUCAAUAGGAAUCUAACUAUUUUCCCACCAAG